RNAcentral lists this long non-coding RNA (971 nucleotides) under Vigna radiata. RNAcentral describes it as "long non-coding RNA (VRAD_LNC008658)". The record is from RNAcentral. Lineage: Eukaryota; Viridiplantae; Streptophyta; Magnoliopsida; Fabales; Fabaceae.
UUCAUACCAAAUGGAAUGCAACAUAUUAUAAUAAUAGAAAGCAGUUAGGAGUAGAAGAUAACUGUAUAGGUAUAAAUUACAGUCAUCCAAAAUAGAGGGGAAAUUAAAACGACAAGUAACUCAAGUACAAAGGUCCAAGGUUUUGCAAAAUAUGAUAAGCUAAAAAGAAAUAAAACAACAUGAUUGCCUAAGCACUAGGUGUUGGAUCUUCCUCAGUCUCCCACGCCUGCUCCAAGGGUACCGCAUCACCUACUGCUCACAUCCAAAGGAUUGGAUGAUCAUCGCAAGGGAGGAAGCAAACACACACAACAUACAAGUGCAAGGGUGAGCUAGGUCUCAAACAAUCAUACAAUUCAUUGCAAGAACGUUCAUACACACUUAAACAUAUAAGUCAUCAUAAUCAUAAACAUUGAUUUCACAAAACUCACUAAAGCAAACAUCAUGUCAUGUUAAGACUCCUAGACACGUCCGGACAUAGAAUGUAUAUAGAGCUGGGGCGGGUUGUGCACUUGUGAUGGCCCUACUGCUUUGCAAAGCCAUUGCCGAGGGGUUCCACCCGACCAUACACAAGGCUGGUCCGUUACCGCAGUAUAGGCCUACAGUGAAAGCGCCUACCCUAGGACCUCCCACUACUCUCACCACACGCGUCAAUCCUCUCUAAGUGAGAAUGAAGACCGUUAGAGUGUUAGGGAUAACCCCCCAUAGUGGAAGCCUCUUACAUACAUUCAAUACACUACUUGAUCCCACCGAGAGAUCUUAAUUGCGCAACCGAAUCCAACCAAUUCACUUACUUGAUAAUUUUCCAAGUCAUAUAAAUCAUGCACACCUUAAUUUGCCACAAACAAUUAGAUAAACCAACCAACCACAAGCUCUAAGCAAUAAACCGAACACUAGUAGCAGUGGCCGAACCAUUGGGAUUGAAUUGGGUACCAUUAGCAGGCACCCUGGCCAGACCGAACGGUUACGGGAUG